UACGAAGGGGGCUAGCGUUGUUCGGAAUUACUGGGCGUAAAGGGCGCGUAGGCGGUGUGUCAAGUCAGGCGUGAAAGCCCCGGGCUCAACCUGGGAACAGCGCUUGAGACUGGCACGCUCGAGUUCGGGAGAGGAUGGUGGAAUUCCCAGUGUAGAGGUGAAAUUCGUAGAUAUCUGGAGGAAUACCGGUGGCGAAGGCGGCAUCCUGGACCGGCAUUGACGCUGAUGAGCGAAAGCUAGGGGAGCAAACGGG
Molecule: ribosomal RNA, 253 nt
Filed under: uncultured bacterium
Lineage: Bacteria
Description: partial 16S ribosomal RNA
Rfam family: Bacterial small subunit ribosomal RNA
Source: RNAcentral